GGGGAAUAUUGGGCAAUGGAGGAAACUCUGACCCAGCAACGCCGCGUGGAGGAAGAAGGUUUUCGGAUCGUAAACUCCUGUCCUUGGAGACGAGUAGAAGACGGUAUCCAAGGAGGAAGCCCCGGCUAACUACGUGCCAGCAGCCGCGGUAAUACGUAGGGGGCAAGCGUUGUCCGGAAUAAUUGGGCGUAAAGGGCGCGUAGGCGGCUCGGUAAGUCUGGAGUGAAAGUCCUGCUUUUAAGGUGGGAAUUGCUUUGGAUACUGUCGGGCUUGAGUGCAGGAGAGGUUAGUGGAAUUCCCAGUGUAGCGGUGAAAUGCGUAGAGAUUGGGAGGAACACCAGUGGCGAAGGCGACUAACUGGACUGUAACUGACGCUGAGGCGCGAAAGUGUGGGGAGCAAACAGGAUUAGAUACCCUGGUAGUCCACACUGUAAACGAUGAAUGCUAGGUGUAGGGGGUAUCGACCCCUUCUGUGCCGCAGUCAACACAAUAAGCAUUCCGCCUGGGGAGUACGGCCGCAAGGUUGAAACUCAAAGGAAUUGACGGGGGCCCGCACAAGCAGCGGAGCAUGUGGUUUAAUUCGACGCAACGCGAAGAACCUUACCAGGUCUUGACAUCCACUUAAACUUACAGAGAUGUAAGGUGUGCUUGCACAAAGUGAGACAGGUGGUGCAUGGUUGUCGUCAGCUCGUGUCGUGAGAUGUUGGGUUAAGUCCCGCAACGAGCGCAACCCUUAUCUUCAGUUACUAACGCGUGAGGGUGAGGACUCUGAAGAGACUGCCGGGGACAACUCGGAGGAAGGUGGGGACGACGUCAAAUCAUCAUGCCCCUUAUGACCUGGGCUACACACGUGCUACAAUGGCCACGACAGAGAGAAGCGAAAUCGUAAGGUAGAGCGGAACUCAAAAAAGUGGUCCCAGUUCGGAUUGUGGGCUGCGACCCGCCCACAUGAAGUCGGAGUUGCUAGUAAUCGCGGAUCAGCAUGCCGCGGUGAAUACGUUCCCG
RNAcentral lists this ribosomal RNA (1005 nucleotides) under uncultured bacterium. RNAcentral describes it as "bacterial SSU rRNA". It matches the Rfam family "Bacterial small subunit ribosomal RNA", at positions 356 to 1376 of the family's 1533-position model. The record is from RNAcentral.